GGUAACGCCCAGAGAUGGUGCCCCUUUGUGUCGGUGUACAGGUGGUGCAUGGUUGUCGUCAGCUCGUGUCGUGAGAUGUUGGGUUAAGUCCCGCAACGAGCGCAACCCUCGACCUUAGUUGCCAGCAUUCAGUUGGGCACUCUAAGGUGACUGCCGGCUAAAAGUCGGAGGAAGGUGGGAUGACGUCAAAUCAUCAUGCCCCUUAUGAUCUGGGCUACACACGUGCUACAAUGGGCGGUACAAAGGGUCGCGAACCCGCGAGGGGGAGCCAAUCCCAAAAAGCCGCUCUCAGUUCGGAUUGCAGGCUGCAACUCGCCUGCAUGAAGCCGGAAUCGCUAGUAAUCGCGGAUCAGCAUGCCGCGGUGAAUACGUUCCCGGGCCUU
This 383-nucleotide ribosomal RNA is filed under the name uncultured Anoxybacillus sp. RNAcentral's name for it is "bacterial SSU rRNA". It matches the Rfam family "Bacterial small subunit ribosomal RNA", at positions 992 to 1382 of the family's 1533-position model. Lineage: Bacteria; Bacillati; Bacillota; Bacilli; Caryophanales; Anoxybacillaceae. The record is from RNAcentral.